RNAcentral lists this ribosomal RNA (492 nucleotides) under uncultured bacterium. RNAcentral describes it as "bacterial SSU rRNA". It matches the Rfam family "Bacterial small subunit ribosomal RNA", at positions 28 to 526 of the family's 1533-position model. The record is from RNAcentral.
AACGAACGUUGGCGGCGUGGAUUAGGCAUGCAAGUCGAACGAAUCCCCGUUGGGUAACUGGCGGGGGGAAGUGGCGAAAGGGGCAGUAAGGUGUAGGUAACCUGCCCCGGAGUUUCGGAUAGCCGUUCUAACGAACGGGUAAUACGAAAUGUCGUGACGAGGGGGGAUCCCUUUGUCACGAAAGCUCAGGCGCUCCGGGAGGGGCUUACAUAGUAUUAGCUAGUUGGUGGGGUAACGGCCCACCAAGGCCAAGAUGCUUAGCGGGUGUGAGAGCACGACCCGCGCCACUGGCACUGUGACACUGGCCAGACUCCUACGGGAGGCUGCAGUCGAGGAUCUUCGGCAAUGGGGGCAACCCUGACCGAGCGACGCCGCGUGUGCGAUGAAGGCCUUCGGGUUGUAAAGCACUGUCGGGAGGGAGAAAAGGGGAAACCUUUGAUCGACCUCCGGAGGAAGGACGGGCUAAGUUCGUGCCAGCAGCCGCGGUAAAAC